Oryctolagus cuniculus (rabbit) is the source of this 187-nucleotide small nuclear RNA. Its record names the gene U2. It matches the Rfam family "U2 spliceosomal RNA". Rfam says of the family: U2 is a small nuclear RNA (snRNA) component of the spliceosome (involved in pre-mRNA splicing). Complementary binding between U2 snRNA (in an area lying towards the 5' end but 3' to hairpin I) and the branchpoint sequence (BPS) of the intron results the bulging out of an unpaired adenosine, on the BPS, which initiates a nucleophilic attack at the intronic 5' splice site, thus starting the first of two transesterification reactions that mediate splicing. Lineage: Eukaryota; Metazoa; Chordata; Mammalia; Lagomorpha; Leporidae. The record is from Ensembl.
AUCGCUUCUCGGCCUUUUGGCUAAGAUCAAGUGUAGUAACAAGACAGAGUAGUGUUUCAAGGGACCAGAGAGGGUGGGAAAUGACUAAGGGGAGUCUAAUUGAAAGACGAAGUCAGUUUUAGUAGGUUCUGUUCAUGCGAUUUCUCCUGGGGCAUGAACUUAUCCCCAGGGACAGGAGUCACUCUUC